This is a long non-coding RNA of Ochotona princeps (American pika), 300 nucleotides long. RefSeq lists it as uncharacterized. NCBI's taxonomy places the organism in Eukaryota, Metazoa, Chordata, Mammalia, Lagomorpha, Ochotonidae. The transcript has 3 exons. The record is from RefSeq and is a predicted model, not a curated record.
ACAAAGAAGAAAUGAACAAGAAUUUAUUUUUGUGAUCUAUCAGUGGGAUGGGAAGAGAUUAAAAUGUGUGGUAGUCUGGCGAAAUCUUUCUGACUUCAAAGGAAGUGACCUUAGUUACAGCCUUAUCUGGAGGAAACUUUGGAGACUGGGAGUGGGGCACUGUCGCUGGUAUCCAGCUGAGUGACUCUACAUGGCCAGCAAAGGCAUCCUUAAAGUUAACAUGCUGCGCAAAAGAGAAAAUGUGAGAGAUUUCACCGAAGGAUGGAGUGCAGGCUGAGAAAAUGCUUACAAGAGAAAAAA